AAAAGAGCAGUUGAAGAUGAGGACCUGCCUUGAGUCUGACAAAGAGAAUAACUCCUCUUAACUCCAGACAUGAAAUGAGAGAAUAACUUUAUCUUAACUCCUGACACCAAAGUAAACAAGAAGAAAGUUAUCCUCCUGGGGUCUAAGUCUUGGGAAACAAGUUUUGUCCAGACUCGCAGGCCCCUCAUCCUCAGGAAGACAUUUGACACCAAGGAGAAGAUGCCCGCAGCAGGGGACAGCCACUGGAGUCCACGCUUCACACUGGUCCCUUUGUCACCCUGGUUUCUCAUCCAAGAUGCCACAAUACACAGAGCCAUCAUGUCUCCUUACUUAGGUUCCUUUUGGCUGUGACCACUCCUCUGUCUUUUUGCUUUUUUUUUUUUUUUUUUGGUGAUGGCCUUGACUGUGCCUCUAUUGAGUCCUUUUUGCUCAAUCUUUUUUAUUGUGUUAGAAUACAUAUAACAUAAAAUUUGCUAUGUUAACCAUUUGAAGUAUACAGUUUAGUGGUGUUAAAUGCAAUCAUAAUAUUUUACAACCAUCCUCAGGAUCCCCCUCCGUAACUCUUGUCAUCUUGCAAUAUUGAAACUCUGUACACAUUAAACAAUAAUUCUAAACAAUGAUUCCCUUCUACCUCCAGCUGCUGGAAACCACUAAUCUACUUUCUGUGUCUAUGAUUUUGAUUAUUAUGAGUACUUUAUAUAAGUGAAACUGAUAGAUUCAUUCUUGAGCUUAAACAGGAAGAGGAAAAGGAAAAAUGAACUGAUGUUUAGACACAUAGAGAAAAGCAUCCAAGCAUUUAAAUCUUAAUAGGAAAAACAGGAAGGGUCCUUCAAGCCUUGCCCCUGAGGGAACAGCUGGAAGUCAAGCUGUGAUACAAGUAUAAUGAGAGAGACUUGAGGGCAAAGAGAAAGAGGGGGAACAAGAACUAUUGUUCUUGGGAAUUCACAAAAAAAGCAGAAAGUUGAAAUGGUCAAGAAACAUGCAAAAGAUGCUCAAUUUCUCUGAUAAUUAGAGAUUUCAUUUAGAAUCACAUAUAAUGUUAUUCAACAUCAGAAAAUUGACCAAAACAUUUCAAAGUUUGACAAAUUUGAGUACUGAUGGUGUAGAGACAUAGAGGCAUGCAUACAUUGCUCAUAGGAAUAUAAAUUGGUAAAUCACUUUAGAAACUAUUUGGAGAUAUUUAGUAAAGUUGAAGACCUAGUUACUGUACUACCCGUAACUCCAUAUCAGCAUAUUGAUUCUAUAGGGCAAUCUUGAAAUUAUG
RNAcentral lists this long non-coding RNA (1264 nucleotides) under Callithrix jacchus (white-tufted-ear marmoset). RNAcentral describes it as "lncRNA (ENSCJAG00000071376.1)". The record is from RNAcentral. Lineage: Eukaryota; Metazoa; Chordata; Mammalia; Primates; Cebidae.